Molecule: long non-coding RNA, 82 nt
Organism: Telopea speciosissima
Lineage: Eukaryota; Viridiplantae; Streptophyta; Magnoliopsida; Proteales; Proteaceae
Exons: 3
Source: RefSeq, a predicted model, not a curated record
AUAUACCUAAAUUAAGAUAAUUACAUCUCAAUUUGCAUUCCCCAUGCUAUAACUCAGCACUAUAAUUUUAACCCAAUGCACA